Molecule: ribosomal RNA, 504 nt
Filed under: uncultured bacterium
Lineage: Bacteria
Description: partial 16S ribosomal RNA
Rfam family: Bacterial small subunit ribosomal RNA
Source: RNAcentral
AUUGAACGCUGGCGGCAUGCCUUACACAUGCAAGUCGAACGGCAGCAUGGAGAGCUUGCUCUCUGAUGGCGAGUGGCGAACGGGUGAGUAAAGCAUCGGAACGUACCGUGUAGUGGGGGAUAACGUAGCGAAAGUUACGCUAAUACCGCAUACGCACUGAGGUGGAAAGCAGGGGAUCGCAAGACCUUGCGCUAUACGAGCGGCCGAUGUCAGAUUAGCUAGUUGGUAGGGUAAAGGCCUACCAAGGCGACGAUCUGUAGCGGGUUUGAGAGGAUGAUACGCAACACUGGGACUGAGACACGGCCCAGACUCCUACGGGAGGCAGCAGUGGGGAAUUUUGGACAAUGGGGGCAACCCUGAUCCAGCCAUGCCGCGUGAGUGAAGAAGGCCUUCGGGUUGUAAAGCUCUUUCGGCCGGGAAGAAAUCGCACAGGCUAAUACUCUGUGUGGAUGACGGUACCGGCAUAAGAAGCACCGGCUAACUACGUGCCAGCAGCAGCCGCGG